Non-coding RNA from Drosophila melanogaster (fruit fly), 22 nucleotides. Lineage: Eukaryota; Metazoa; Arthropoda; Insecta; Diptera; Drosophilidae. The record is from Ensembl.
GGAUACAUUCAGUAUACGUUUA